Regulatory RNA element from Oceanobacillus picturae, 113 nucleotides. It matches the Rfam family "SAM riboswitch aptamer (S box leader)". Rfam says of the family: The SAM riboswitch is found upstream of a number of genes which code for proteins involved in methionine or cysteine biosynthesis in Gram-positive bacteria. The record is from Rfam. NCBI's taxonomy places the organism in Bacteria, Bacillati, Bacillota, Bacilli, Caryophanales, Bacillaceae.
CUCUUAUCUUGAGCGGUGGAGGGACUGGCCCUGUGAAACCGCGGCAACCUUCAACUAUUUUAAUAGUUGAAAGGUGCCAAUUCCUGCAAAGUGAAAACUUUGACAGAUGAGAG